AACGAACGCUGGCUGCAGGCUUAACACAUGCAAGUCGAGCGCCCCGCAAGGGGAGCGGCCGACGGGUGAGUAACGCGUGGGAACGUACCUUUUGGUUCGGAACAACUCCGGGAAACUGGAGCUAAUACCGGAUAAGCCCUAACGGGGAAAGAUUUAUCGCCGAAAGAUCGGCCCGCGUCUGAUUAGCUAGUUGGUGAGGUAACGGCUCACCAAGGCGACGAUCAGUAGCUGGUCUGAGAGGAUGAUCAGCCACACUGGGACUGAGACACGGCCCAGACUCCUACGGGAGGCAGCAGUGGGGAAUAUUGGACAAUGGGCGCAAGCCUGAUCCAGCCAUGCCGCGUGAGUGAUGAAGGCCUUAGGGUUGUAAAGCUCUUUUGUCCGGGAAGAUAAUGACUGUACCGGAAGAAUAAGCCCCGGCUAACUUCGUG
RNAcentral lists this ribosomal RNA (431 nucleotides) under uncultured bacterium. Its description in RNAcentral is "partial 16S ribosomal RNA". It matches the Rfam family "Bacterial small subunit ribosomal RNA", at positions 29 to 507 of the family's 1533-position model. The record is from RNAcentral.